Molecule: long non-coding RNA, 490 nt
Organism: Bos taurus (domestic cattle)
Lineage: Eukaryota; Metazoa; Chordata; Mammalia; Artiodactyla; Bovidae
Source: Ensembl
GAGGAGAUACCCCUCGUCCAAAGUAAGGAGCAGCGGCUGUGCUUUGCUGGAGCAGCUGUGAAGAGAUACCCCACAUCCAAGGCUGGGCCCCAGUGGUGACAGAUGCAGGAGAGGGGAAGUGCCCCCUCGCUGCUCCCCAGUUGGCUGUCCCUCAAGUUCCUCCUGCAGUGGCAAUUCUUUGAUCACAUGGGCACUUUCUAUGAGGAAACUACUCCACCCAAGUGGAAACUGUGAUGAGCUUUCCCGAGGAGGCACAGAGAAGUGGGGCUUCUCCAAGGAUGAUGGCAAGGUGCACCCACCAGCCUGUGAAGGAAAUGGAUCACUGGUGACCCUGGGCCAUUGGUAUCAAGAAGUUAACAAGGUUUGCUUUGGGACAUGGGAUGGAGUCACAUGCAUCUCUUCUUGCCCUCACCUCUAAUUUCCACCACGGCCUCUUCAUGUCAUCCUGGGACUGCACAGGAAGUGCCUGGGUGGGAAGCAGAGAGCAGGG